RNAcentral lists this ribosomal RNA (149 nucleotides) under uncultured bacterium. RNAcentral's name for it is "partial 16S ribosomal RNA". It matches the Rfam family "Bacterial small subunit ribosomal RNA", at positions 369 to 509 of the family's 1533-position model. The record is from RNAcentral.
CAAUGGAACGAAAGUCUGAUGGAGCAACGCCGCGUGAGUGAAGAAGGGUUUCGGCUCGUAAAGCUCUGUUGGUAGUGAAGAAAGAUAGAGGUAGUAACUGGCCUUUAUUUGACGGUAAUUACUUAGAAAGUCACGGCUAACUACGUGCC